Molecule: ribosomal RNA, 379 nt
Filed under: uncultured bacterium
Lineage: Bacteria
Description: partial 16S ribosomal RNA
Rfam family: Bacterial small subunit ribosomal RNA
Source: RNAcentral
UGUCUGGCAUGGAGAAUCUGACCGCGACGCCGCGUGCGGGAUGAAGGCCUUCGGGUUGUAAACCGCUUUCAGCAGGGAAGAAGCGAAAGUGACGGUACCUGCAGAAGAAGCACCGGCUAACUAUGUGCCAGCAGCCGCGGUAAUACAUAGGGUGCAAGCGUUGUCCGGAAUUAUUGGGCGUAAAGAGCUCGUAGGUGGUUCGUCACGUCGGAUGUGAAAAUCUGGGGCUUAACCCCAGACCUGCAUUCGAUACGGGCGAGCUAGAGUGUGGUAGGGGAGACUGGAAUUCCUGGUGUAGCGGUGGAAUGCGCAGAUAUGGGGGGGGGGGGGCAAUGGCGAAGGCAGGUCUCUGGGCCAUUACUGACACUGAGGAGCGAAA